This 394-nucleotide ribosomal RNA is filed under the name uncultured bacterium. RNAcentral's name for it is "partial 16S ribosomal RNA". It matches the Rfam family "Bacterial small subunit ribosomal RNA", at positions 523 to 918 of the family's 1533-position model. The record is from RNAcentral.
AUACGUAGGGAGCGAGCGUUGUCCGGAAUUACUGGGCGUAAAGGGCGCGUAGGCGGCGCUUCAAGUCGUCUGUCAAAUGGGAGGGCUUAACCCUUUUUCGCAGACGAAACUGGAGAGCUUGAGAAGCAGAGAGGCAAACAGAAUUCCUGGUGUAGCGGUGAAAUGCGUAGAUAUCAGGAAGAAUACCAGUGGCGAAGGCGGUUUGCUGGCUGCAUACUGACGCUGAAGCGCGAAAGCCAGGGGAGCAAACGGGAUUAGAUACCCCGGUAGCCCUGGCAGUAAACGAUGUAUGCUGGGUGUGAGACUAGCGAUAGUUUCGUGCCGAAGUUAACGCGAUAAGCAUACCGCCUGGGGAGUACGGUCGCAAGAUUGAAACUCAAAUGAAUUGACGGGG